This 720-nucleotide long non-coding RNA is filed under the name Numida meleagris (helmeted guineafowl). Its description in RNAcentral is "lncRNA (ENSNMEG00000021974.1)". The record is from RNAcentral. Lineage: Eukaryota; Metazoa; Chordata; Aves; Galliformes; Numididae.
CAGCAGCAGCCCUUUGUGAGCUUCGCAUUUUUGUGUCCCUAGCGCUUAGGAGCGAAUGUCCUUCUUCAGCCUGCCCGCAUGGAUGCUGGGCUUAUCUGCGCGCCGCACUCCUCUUCUUUCACUGAUUCCGAACAGCUUUCAUGGGUGGCUUUGUGAAGAAUUAUCCUCUCCAGGGAAAUACAUCUUUUAUUCUUCUGAUUUUUAAGAGGGAAUAUGGUCUGAGGCAAAGUUCCAGCAACAGAGGAAACUUUCUUCAAUCAACAAUAAGAAUCUGCAAUGUGCUGCUCCACAUUUCUGUGAACUACAGAGUGACUCUGCUGCCUUCCAUUGUGUCCCUGCAUGCUCCAAGUCCUUUAUCUGUUCCCAUAGCCUUUACGCAAGUAUAUAUGCAGCCUAGCUGUAGAAAAGAACAAUGGGGCAGAACAGAGUUUCUGGUACAGAAACAUACUAAUAAUAAUUCUAAUUUUGGCUGACACAAAAUCAAAUGCAAGCAAUUCUUAUAUUUCUAUUACAUGCUACACAAAGGAACAUUAAAAUUUUCCAAGGAUGCCGAACUACAGUUCCCUUAAUUUUGUGUUUGGACAUUCUUAAUCAUUAGAGAAUCUUGUAGUCAUACAUAUGACUCUUAAAAUCCCAAGUAACAUGUCACAUCUCCUUUGUCACAUCUUGCUGGAGAGUUUUGCUUUUUCCCCCUGUUGGAAAUAAACUAUUUGAUAUCUC